This 256-nucleotide long non-coding RNA is filed under the name Elaeis guineensis (African oil palm). Its description in RNAcentral is "long non-coding RNA (EGUI_LNC028563)". Lineage: Eukaryota; Viridiplantae; Streptophyta; Magnoliopsida; Arecales; Arecaceae. The record is from RNAcentral.
UUAUCAUCGAGUUGUUCCAUCUCAGUAUCUCAUCAUAUUGCCUAUACAUGCAUAAGAUAAGUACAUGAUGAUAAGUGAUUAAAGAGUUGAGAUUAUGAUGGAUACUUACUCAAUAUAUGGAUCGACCUCCGUACAUUUUAGCAAAAUAUAUAUCUUUGCCUGUCGAAUUUCAGUAUCAGUUAAUACCCGACGAAUCUCGUGUCCAAAUUCAUGAGUGGGAUAAGCAAAUAUUGAGAUCUCUACCUCUGAUCCCUCA